RNAcentral lists this ribosomal RNA (497 nucleotides) under uncultured bacterium. Its description in RNAcentral is "partial 16S ribosomal RNA". It matches the Rfam family "Bacterial small subunit ribosomal RNA", at positions 28 to 507 of the family's 1533-position model. The record is from RNAcentral.
GAUGAACGCUGGCGGCGUGCCUAAUACAUGCAAGUCGAGCGAACAGAUGAGGAGCUUGCUCCUCUGACGUUAGCGGCGGACGGGUGAGUAACACGUGGAUAACCUACCUAUAAGACUGGGAUAACUUCGGGAAACCGGAGCUAAUACCGGAUAAUAUAUUGAACCGCAUGGUUCAAUAGUGAAAGACGGUUUUGCUGUCACUUAUAGAUGGAUCCGCGCCGCAUUAGCUAGUUGGUAAGGUAACGGCUUACCAAGGCAACGAUGCGUAGCCGACCUCAGAGGGUGAUCGGCCACACUGGAACUGAGACACGGUCCAGACUCCUACGGGAGGCAGCAGUAGGGAAUCUUCCGCAAUGGGCGAAAGCCUGACGGAGCAACGCCGCGUGAGUGAUGAAGGUCUUCGGAUCGUAAAACUCUGUUAUUAGGGAAGAACAAAUGUGUAAGUAACUAUGCACGUCUUGACGGUACCUAAUCAGAAAGCCACGGCUAACUACGUG